This 487-nucleotide ribosomal RNA is filed under the name uncultured bacterium. Its description in RNAcentral is "bacterial SSU rRNA". It matches the Rfam family "Bacterial small subunit ribosomal RNA", at positions 34 to 518 of the family's 1533-position model. The record is from RNAcentral.
CGCUGGCGGCGUGCUUAACACAUGCAAGUCGAACGGGGAUAUUGAUUGAGAGCUUCGGCAGGAUAUCGAUUAAUUCGAGUGGCGGACGGGUGAGUAACGCGUGAGCAACCUGUCCCAGACAGGGGAUAACACUUGGAAACAGGUGCUAAUACCGCAUAAGACCACGGGAUCACAUGGUUCUGGGGUAAAAGGAGCAAUCCGGUUUGGGGUGGGCUCGCGUCCGAUUAGCCAGUUGGCGGGUAACGGCCCACCAAAGCGACGAUCGGUAGCCGACCUGAGAGGGUGAACGGCCACAUUGGAACUGAGAGACGGUCCAAACUCCUACGGGAGGCAGCAGUGGGGAAUAUUGGGCAAUGGGCGAAAAAGCCUGACCCAGCAACGCCGCGUGAGGGAAGAAGGUUUUCGGAUCGUAAACCUCUGUCCUUGGUGAAGAGGAAGAGACGGUAGCCAAGGAGGAAGCCCCGGCUAACUACGUGCCAGCCGCCGC